RNAcentral lists this ribosomal RNA (516 nucleotides) under Cryptosporidium hominis. RNAcentral's name for it is "partial small subunit ribosomal RNA". It matches the Rfam family "Eukaryotic small subunit ribosomal RNA", at positions 369 to 912 of the family's 1831-position model. Lineage: Eukaryota; Apicomplexa; Conoidasida; Eucoccidiorida; Cryptosporidiidae. The record is from RNAcentral.
AUUAGGGUUCGAUUCCGGAGAGGGAGCCUGAGAAACGGCUACCACAUCUAAGGAAGGCAGCAGGCGCGCAAAUUACCCAAUCCUAAUACAGGGAGGUAGUGACAAGAAAUAACAAUACAGGACUUUUUGGUUUUGUAAUUGGAAUGAGUUAAGUAUAAACCCCUUUACAAGUAUCAAUUGGAGGGCAAGUCUGGUGCCAGCAGCCGCGGUAAUUCCAGCUCCAAUAGCGUAUAUUAAAGUUGUUGCAGUUAAAAAGCUCGUAGUUGGAUUUCUGUUAAUAAUUUAUAUAAUAUAUUUUGAUGAAUAUUUAUAUAAUAUUAACAUAAUUCAUAUUACUAUUUUUUUUUAGUAUAUGAAAUUUUACUUUGAGAAAAUUAGAGUGCUUAAAGCAGGCAUAUGCCUUGAAUACUCCAGCAUGGAAUAAUAUUAAAGAUUUUUAUCUUUUUUAUUGGUUCUAAGAUAAGAAUAAUGAUUAAUAGGGACAGUUGGGGGCAUUUGUAUGUAACAGUCAGAGGG